GGUUGAGAGGGUGAUCUGGCUGGGACAUCUGUCACCCCAUUCAUGCCAGGGUUGAUUUGGCUGCUCUGGUUGGCCAGGCAGGUGUCCCUGUCCUUCCUAACUGCUGCACGUGCACACCUCCCAAAACCGCAUGCUCGAUCCAAGAGAACGACCGCACCCAUAGAGUAAAAUUGUUCUUCAGCCAAGGAUAUAAGAGUGGCUAUGCUGUCCUGUUAGAACCUCCAAUCAAGCUCUCAAAGUCCAUUUGUAGAAGAACACAGUGUAGUCAAGCUUCCAAAGCUCCAGACACAUCCAAAUGGGGCACUGAAUGUGGCAGUCUACAGUUU
RNAcentral lists this small nuclear RNA (326 nucleotides) under Ailuropoda melanoleuca (giant panda). Its description in RNAcentral is "7SK RNA". It matches the Rfam family "7SK RNA". From Rfam's summary of the family: 7SK was discovered as an abundant small nuclear RNA in the mid-70s but a possible function has only recently been suggested. Two independent studies have found that 7SK RNA binds the CDK9/cyclin T complex (known as elongation factor P-TEFb). The record is from Rfam by way of RNAcentral. Lineage: Eukaryota; Metazoa; Chordata; Mammalia; Carnivora; Ursidae.